AAUAUUCCAUAAUUGAGGGAACUCUGAUGCAGCGACGCCGCGUGAAUGACGAAGGCCUUCGGGUCGUAAAGUUCUGUCCUUUGGGAAGAAAAAUGACGUUACCCAAGGAGGAAGCCCCGGCUAUCUACGUGCAAGCAGCCGCGGUAAUACGUACGGGGCUAGCGUUGUCCGGAAUUAUUGGGGGGAAAGGGUUCGCAGGCGGCCUAAAAAGUCAGAUGUAAAAGGUCACGGCUCAACCGUGGUAAGCAUAGGAAACUUUUAGGCUUGAGUUAAGGAGAGGAAAGUGGAAUUCCUAGUGUAGCGGUGAAAUACGUAGAUAUUAGGAGGAAUACCAGUGGCGAAGGCGACUUUCUGGACUUAUACUGACGCUGAGGAACGAAAGCGUGGGGAGCAAAAA
This 397-nucleotide ribosomal RNA is filed under the name uncultured bacterium. Its description in RNAcentral is "partial 16S ribosomal RNA". It matches the Rfam family "Bacterial small subunit ribosomal RNA", at positions 360 to 774 of the family's 1533-position model. The record is from RNAcentral.